RNAcentral lists this long non-coding RNA (725 nucleotides) under Heterocephalus glaber (naked mole-rat). RNAcentral describes it as "lncRNA (ENSHGLG00000032943.1)". The record is from RNAcentral. Lineage: Eukaryota; Metazoa; Chordata; Mammalia; Rodentia; Bathyergidae.
GUGAUCCUCCUGCGUCAGCCUGCAGAGUGCUGGAAUUACAGGCAUGUGCCACCACACUCAAUUUAAAUAUCAGUGUUUAAAAAACAAACUAAAAGUAAAAAAUUUACAGUAUAUCUGUCAUUGCAAAAGUUUCAUUCGAUAGAACUUUUCUCAGUAGGUUUUCACUCUUGCUGAUAAUUUCCUGCUUGCUUCCUUGUGAACUAUUCCGUACUUUAUUGUUACUCAGAGCUAAUCAGACAUCCAAUCAAAGUGUCUGCAGGUGAGAUUUUAUUUUAGGAAAAUCUGAUUUUCAUGUCUUAAUUCAGUCCCUCAGGGACUGUUAAGCCUGCCUACCUAGGUGAGGCUCCUUGGUGAGCUUGUUUACUUAAGUGUGGGCUAAUCAGUUACUUCCCUUCAGUAAUUCUGCAUUAAGUAAAUUGUUGCCUCCUAGUAAUAGUUGAAACUAUUCACAUACACUUAAAAUCUUCUUUAUUUUUCUAGGUUACUCAGAAAGGGCUUUUAAAACUAAAUGAAAACAUGUCUGUGCUUCCAAAGAGAUUUUGGAACCGAUCUUCACAAAAUUUCUGGGAGUGGAAGCUGGAGGAAUGAUGAUCAAGAGUAGCACCUAAGUGGAGCAUCAGUUCUGCCCUCAUCUAUAGGUUCGCACCUUGACCCUGCCCCACUCUGCAGAUGUUAUUCUGUUUACUUAAUUUAGGUUCUUUGUUUUCUUGUUAUGUCUAUUCCAC